CCUACGGGAGGCAGCAGUGGGGAAUAUUGCACAAUGGGCGCAAGCCUGAUGCAGCCAUGCCGCGUGUAUGAAGAAGGCCUUCGGGUUGUAAAGUACUUUCAGCGGGGAGGAAGGUGUUGUGGUUAAUAACCACAACAAUUGACGUUACCCGCAGAAAAAGCACCGGCUAACUCCGUGCCAGCAGCCGCGGUAAUACGGAGGGUGCAAGCGUUAAUCGGAAUUACUGGGCGUAAAGCGCACGCAGGCGGUCUGUCAAGUCGGAUGUGAAAUCCCCGGGCUCAACCUGGGAACUGCAUUCGAAACUGGCAGGCUAGAGUCUUGUAGAGGGGGGUAGAAUUCCAGGUGUAGCGGUGAAAUGCGUAGAGAUCUGGAGGAAUACUGGUGGCGAAGGCGGCCCCCUGGACAAAGACUGACGCUCAGGUGCGAAAGCGUGGGGAGCAAACGGGAUUAGAUACCCUCGUAGUC
RNAcentral lists this ribosomal RNA (465 nucleotides) under uncultured bacterium. RNAcentral's name for it is "bacterial SSU rRNA". It matches the Rfam family "Bacterial small subunit ribosomal RNA", at positions 338 to 795 of the family's 1533-position model. The record is from RNAcentral.